RNAcentral lists this long non-coding RNA (1045 nucleotides) under Triticum aestivum (bread wheat). Its description in RNAcentral is "long non-coding RNA (TAES_LNC018406)". Lineage: Eukaryota; Viridiplantae; Streptophyta; Magnoliopsida; Poales; Poaceae. The record is from RNAcentral.
AUUUACGUAGAGAAGCCUCUGUCAAUACUGAAGUGUUUUUUGUUCAUUCUGUUGUUGGUCUCCAGACAUUUGUAUUUUGAGAAUCAUUCUGAAACCAGGGUUCAAAGCACUAAGAAAAUAUGAUUCUAUUUCUGAAUCUUGUGCUAAUGCUUCAAAGGGAGAUGUAGAAACAGAAUCAUAACUGUUCACCCAAUGUAUCUUCUAGCAGACUAAAAGGUUUGGUUCCUACUCCAUUCAAUGUCUAUGUGAUUAGUAACGUGGUCCACAUCUUUCACUCAUAAUUUUAUUAUUAUUAUUAUUAUUAUGUUUUGCAUAAUAACAUUGUAAUGCCCAGUAAGGUACUGAGGUGUUAUGUAACUGCAGUCCUGUAAUGAAUUUAAGUUUCAGUUCAAGUUGUUCACCAGGUUGUUAUUCCUCAUUCCUAAUAUUUUCUUUUCAUAACUUGCAUACUGAGGCAGAACAACAAUAAGAACAUUUGUUAGCUUUUUCAUGUGCAGGUUCAGCAGAGGGCAAUGCUCGAGAUAGAGUUGGGCUUACAAGAUAUAUAUACGUACGUCGUCACUUCUGAAUAAACAGAGAUGAGCAGCAACAGAGAUGUCUAUCCGACUGCCAUCCUUCCUUUACUUGGGUUUGUCAUUUCUAUCAGCGUCCGCUUCCUUCAUUGGUUGUUGCUUGUUUGCACACUGCUGUAGAUCAGAGAUCAUAAUAUAUUUUCCGUUGAUACAAUUGAAUACGCCACCCAGUUUGCUAUUAUAAUUGUUCAAAUCUCUCUCAUAGCGAUUCUAAAAAAAUUAUCAUGCAUAUAAGUCUCAGUUUAAGUAGAAUAUAACCGUUGGUUUAUUCAAAUGCAGAUUCUUUUGUAAUUUUAGAGGUUAUUCUACAGCUUCUACAUGGAAGACGAUACAAAUAAGAGGGCAUUCUACAGAAGAUUGGACGAUGAUAUGGAAGGCAUUUGUAAUUUGGGCAAUGACGGCCCACCAAACACACCCACCAUGAAGAGCUGCUUAGACGCCGAGGUCAUCUUAUGUUAAUCACCCCGUAUCUU